AUUGAACGCUGGCGGCAUGCCUUACACAUGCAAGUCGAACGGCCGCACGGGUGCUUGCACCUGGUGGCGAGUGGCGAACGGGUGAGUAAUACAUCGGAACAUGUCCUGUAGUGGGGGAUAGCACGGCGAAAGCCGGAUUAAUACCGCAUACGAUCUACGGAUGAAAGCGGGGGACCUUCGGGCCUCGCGCUUUAGGGUUGGCCGAUGGCUGAUUAGCUAGUUGGUGGGGUAAAGGCCUACCAAGGCGACGAUCAGUAGCUGGUCUGAGAGGACGACCAGCCACACUGGGACUGAGACACGGCCCAGACUCCUACGGGAGGCAGCAGUGGGGAAUUUUGGACAAUGGGCGAAAGCCUGAUCCAGCAAUGCCGCGUGUGUGAAGAAGGCCUUCGGGUUGUAAAGCACUGUUGUCCGGAAAGAAAACCUUGGCCCUAAUACGGGCGGGGGAUGACGGUACCGGAAGAAUAAGCACCGGCUAACUACGUG
Molecule: ribosomal RNA, 486 nt
Filed under: uncultured bacterium
Lineage: Bacteria
Description: partial 16S ribosomal RNA
Rfam family: Bacterial small subunit ribosomal RNA
Source: RNAcentral